CUUUAUGCGCAGUAUUGACAGCAUGCUUUGUCACAAAUUAACUGGCUCCAUGUUGAUCCACACGGUUGAGAGCUAAUUUCUCCCCCAACGCUGUCUGUAUCAGCCAACGGAGAGAAACGUGUGUGAGGCUCCUUAUCACCUUGCACCGACGUGGUGAAUUCCUCCUGUGUCCGUAGAUUUAUGAGGCUGCGGUUCAUCAGUUGCACUCCGCUCCCAUCGGGCCAGCAUCAGGGCUCUUUUUCGCGUGUAAUACUGACGUACGAGACCUGCGGGAUCUCUGGGCACGAUUUAGCCGAUGCCGAUGCCUCUCGAUCUUUACGUGACACUCACCGGAGGACGUCCCGCGGAUCCCAUGUUUAUAACAGCCCAAGUUGCAUAGAAUUUCUUCCACUUCAGUCAUAGAGUGGAUCUGCAUUACGAUGGCAUCGCUUAAAGAGUAUUUAUAAAUGUUCGUAUUUAAAUAACGAGAUUAUGGAUGAGGAAGAUCAGAUCCGCUGGCCAAAUUUCAUCAAGCGGACACCAGUUCAUCUUUGCAUACUCUAAUUAGGUUAUUAUCGACGUCGUUUUACCGUAAUAAGUCUGGCAUGAAUUAGUUUUUAAUGCAUUUAACAUGCAGGUGCAAUAUACGACUUUAAUUGGAAUCUAUGGCUUUUUAAGUUUGGUAAACAGCGUCUUAUAUGUCUUAUAUACGGUAAUGUUUUAGCGUGUGAUUGGUUCAUAAUUUCAGCAUUAGUGCCGGGAUUUUGCGGCGAUCACGUAUCAGGCUUGCUUGCUGGAGAAUAUGCCGUAUAUCCUAAGCAUGUCGCUCAGCUUUGGGAAGCAUCGGCACUGAGAAGUGCCAGUCUCUCACUGUAAUAAGGGAGGGAGGCGUUCCCACCCCUCCGAAACUGACAGGUAGCGGCGUGCUUUGACGCCUUUCUGAGUUUUCGGCGAAGGCGAGCGGAUCAAUGAACCAGUCGCACAAAAGCCAGAAGCCAAUCUGCUUCGAUGCCAUUCAGAUCGCCAAUGCGAAGAUGAAGGGCACGCACUCUGUCAAGAGGCACCGCAUCACUAUACACACCUCUCAUGGUGAUGGAUGCACUGAGGUCUUAACACGCUCGGGCCGCUCCGGCGCUCGCGGCCGCAACUCCACCUCCUCGGCCGACGAGCAGCCGCACGUCGGCAACUAUCGGCUGCUCAAGACCAUCGGCAAAGGCAACUUUGCCAAGGUCAAGCUGGCACGGCACAUACUCACUGGCAGAGAGGUUGCAAUCAAAAUCAUCGAUAAGACGCAGCUGAAUCCCACCAGUCUUCAGAAGCUUUUCAGGGAAGUGCGCAUAAUGAAGAUUUUAAAUCAUCCAAAUAUAGUUAAGCUGUUCGAGGUCAUAGAGACAGAAAAGACGCUGUACCUGGUGAUGGAAUAUGCCAGUGGAGGCGAGGUCUUCGACUACCUUGUCGCACACGGGAGGCUGAAGGAAAAGGAGGCCAGAGCUAAAUUUAGACAGAUAGUGUCUGCAGUGCAGUAUUGCCACCAGAAGCACAUCGUGCAUAGGGACUUGAAGGCAGAGAACCUGCUGCUGGAUGGGGAUAUGAACAUCAAAAUCGCUGACUUCGGCUUCAGCAACGAGUUUACGCUGGGCAGCAAGCUGGACACCUUCUGCGGCAGCCCCCCCUAUGCCGCCCCUGAGCUUUUCCAGGGCAAGAAGUAUGAUGGGCCCGAGGUGGAUGUCUGGAGCCUGGGGGUCAUCCUCUACACGCUGGUCAGCGGUUCACUGCCCUUCGAUGGCCAGAACCUCAAGGAGCUGCGUGAGCGUGUGCUGAGGGGAAAGUACAGGAUUCCUUUCUACAUGUCCACGGACUGUGAGAACCUGCUAAAACGCUUUCUGGUGCUGAACCCUGUCAAGCGAGGCACGCUUGAGCAAAUCAUGAAGGACCGGUGGAUCAACGCCGGCUUUGAGGAGGAUGAACUGAAGCCAUUCAUGGAGCCGGAGCUGGACAUCUCUGACCAGAAGAGGAUAGACAUCAUGGUGGGGAUGGGCUACACCCGCGAGGAGAUCCAUGACUCGCUGGCACGUAUGGUGUAUGAUGAAAUGACUGCCACCUACCUGCUGCUGGGGAGGAAAUCUUCAGAGCCGGAUGCUGCAGACUCAGGCACCAGCAGCCACCUCUCGGUCCCCAAACCCAGACCCAACAGCGAGAUCAAUGGUGGCCAGUCCCCCUCCCACCUGAAGGUGCAGAGGAGUACCUCCAGCCAGAAGCAGAGACGCUACAGUGACCAGGCUGGCCCCCCUGUCACCUCGGCAGUAGGAUACACCAAGCGGAGCCCCACGAGCCCAGCUGAGGGUGACCUCAAAGAGGAUGGUGUGACGCAGCCACGGAAGUCCAGCACGGCUGGAGGGCGUGGCCUUGCCCCCCCGAGCCCCAUGCUGGGCAAUGCCAACAACCCCAACAAGGCUGACAUUCCGGACCGCAAAAAGGGCUCCGUUGCCCCCAGCGGUAACGCCAUGUCUGCUGGGAUGACGAGGCGGAACACGUAUGUGUGUAGUGAGAAGACACCCGCUGACAGGCACACCGUUGUUCAGAACGGCAAAGAGAACAGUGCUGUGGUACCAGCCAGCCAGCGGACAGCGGUGGCCUCCACACACAGCAUCAGUGGCACCACGCCUCCGGACCGGCUACGCUUCCCACGGGGCACGGCCAGCCGGAGCACCUUCCACGGGGGGCAGCUGCGGGAGCGCCGCACAGCCACCUACAAUGGGCCGCCGGCAUCGCCCACGCUGUCGCACGAUGCCGCACCGCUCUCGCAGUCACGCAGCCGUGGCUCCUCCAACCUCUUCACCAAGCUCACUUCCAAGCUCACCCGCAGAGUCCCAACCGAGUUUGAGAGAAACAGCAGAUUUGAGGGCUCAAGUCGCAAUGUAUCUGGGGAUCAAAAAGACGAAAACAAAGACAGCAAGCCUCGCUCCCUGCGAUUCACCUGGAGUAUGAAGACCACCAGUGCCAUGGAGCCCGGCGACAUCAUGCGCGAGAUCCGCAAGGUGCUGGAUGCCAACAACUGCGAUUACGAGCAGCGCGAGCGAUUCCUGCUGCUCUGCGUCCAUGGUGAUGGGCAUGCCCACGUCGACACUCUGGUCCAAUGGGAGAUGGAGGUGUGCAAACUGCCCCGCCUCUCGCUUAACGGUGUGCGCUUCAAGCGGAUAUCGGGGACCUCCAUCGCUUUCAAGAACAUCGCUUCCAAAAUUGCCAAUGAAUUAAAACUAUGAAAAUGAAACAAAAAAAGAGACAAAAGAUUAUGGAAAAAAAUUAGCUAUACAUCCUCCAAGUAGCAGUUUUCUCCAGGACAUUCACAAAUUAUGUAUUGAAAAUAUUGUAUACAAUGUGUUAGGCAAUAAUUUCUUUCAGCGUCAAAAUGGUAUUAUUACUAUUGCUAUUGUGGUUGUUAUGAUUGUGGUUGUUGCCUUUGAGUUGUUAAACUGCUGAGUAAGAUGAAGUGUGAAGGAAUGAGCCGCUGUUUGUAAGUGCACUAUGGUGAGAGACAGCCAUGGCCUCAGGGGCUCACCCCCCAUCCUGGUGUGUGGUGGUUGUACAGGGUUGGCUGAAAGAAGCCAGUCAGGUGAUGUUAAAUGGAGUCAUGGAGGCAAAACACGGCCACUCAGCCUAACCUGUAAGGAAGGACCUCCCGGACAUUACUGGAUGCAGGGAGGAGCAGGCAGAUUCUGCACAUAAUUAAAAUUAUUUCAUAAAUCAUUGGACAGGGAUAACUUUGAGGCUACACCGUCAUACUCACAGGUGGGGGGCGUUGGGCACUAUAGGCCUGAGCUGUGCGGCCUCCUUGUCCUCUGGAGGUCAGUGGGUUUUAAUGUCUUGGUUGAUAUGAGUAUUAUGAGUAUCACUGGUGGGGGUGUUUUGUUUAUUUUUGGGACCCUCUCAGUAAAAUAAGGGUAAUGCCACUGCAUCCUGCUAGGCCUGCCAGGAUGCUCGGGCUGAACCAGGCACACUCUGCCCGCCUGCGUCACACUGUUCUCUCUCUUUUUAUAAGAGCUGAAAGAUAAAAGUGUAACCUGUCACCAGAGAAGGGUGAGCCCUGUUGCAGGAACUCCUUAAAACCAGCAGGUUUCGGUGUCUGUGAGAUCAGCCUGGUGGGAGGAGAAGGUCAGCAGCGGCACGGUCUUCUGCUCUCCCAUAACAACAGUGGCAGCUCCGCGGGCAGCAUGGGAUUCUUUGCAUAAAACAAAAAUUUAGCUGAACAAUGUUAAAGAAGAAAUGAAGCCCUGAGUUAAUAUGAGCUGAUCAAGGCCAGUUUAGCCAAAGGCUGACUGGGAGCAUGAUACCCCAGCCUGGCCUUCCAUUACCCUCCAGUGCAUACUGGGGUACUCUAGCCCCUCACAGCGGCACCUUUAAGCUGCUCUAUUACAAUGGGAGGCAUCAUUUACCAGAAGGCAGGGGUCAGUCAGCAUGAAAGCAAUGUGUCGCACAGGCCGUUACUGCCUUAAGGUCCCUACAGAAAGUCAACAUUCAGUAACUCGCAUUGUUAACCUUAUGACCUCAUGCAAAGAGCGCAGGCUUUAAGCACAUAUUUGUAACUUCUUGAAUGCUUCAUGAAAAUUCUCUGUGUACUGUAUACACCAACACUGGAGAUGCCACCUGGAUUGGGUAAUUGUACUCUAAUCCAUCCAGAAAUAUAUGUGGUUCAAAUGCAGACUUGUGUAUUGUUACUGCAGGAAUGCUACUUAUAAAAGCACCUUUUUGUCUUUGAGGCUUGAUUGGCUGAUCCUCUUCUUCUGUCAUUGAGUCUGGUACUUGUCCUGGGAUGACUAUUGUGGUUUUAUACUUCAUAGCCUUGUUCAAAAUCGGCCCAUUCUAUGGUUUUUAAAGACUGGGACUGGGGAACUUCGGCAUGGUUCCCACAGGUCAUGCAAUUUCUAGAAUAUAAUGGAAUGUAAAAAAUCUAUUGCAGGUAUAGAAAGUCAGGAGAUUUCAUUGUUUUUUUGGGUCAAGUCAUAGAAUGCCAGGGAAUUUUGUUUGUAGAUGUUUUAGUUGCCAUUCAUCAAAAAUAUAAUAGUCUCCAUGCAGUAUUAUUCUUUAUCAGGUUAUUUCAUACAUUUCCUUGAUUGCGUGUUCGGUUGUUAUUGGUUACUUAAUUUUUCGGUGCCCAACACCUGGCAGUGACUUCAGUCAAGAUGUGCAGUGUUCUGUGCCUGCUAAUGAAGGCAAACGUGCCAAGAACAUGUAAAUUUCAAGAGCUUUGGCUACAAAAUGAUAACUUCAAAUGUUGGGUGUUAAGAGUAGAUAACAGAAAAGCUCAUUGUGAAGUUUGUAAAACUGCUAUUGAUCUAUCAAAUACCAUAGAGCAGAGCAAUGCUCGCAAAUGGUUCUUACAGAGAUUUUCUUGUGCUGAUAUAGCUAUCAGAUAAACAUAAAGUUUUCAUAGUGACUUAUUUUGUAGGUAAUGACUGGGGAAUAUAACAACAUUUUUAUUUAAUGCUCAUAUUGUUACCAAUUGUGUCAUGAGGAAUUAACCUGAUCGUAUGUCUCGCCCUCAAAGCAUAACAUCCAUGGUGUGCAAAGAAACAAAGCCUCACUAAUGCACCACCUUAGAUGUGAUGGGUUAAGGAGUGGCAUGUGGCUCUGUGGGUGAUGGGAAGGUGGUGGGCUUGAAUCCCGUGGCUAACAGAGUGAUGUCACCAUCAAGCCCUUAGGCAAGGCCUUUAACUCCAGUUGUUCGAGGGACACUGGCUCACCCUGCUGUCCAGUCCUCACUCAUGUGCCAUUUUCGACAAAAGCAUCUACUAAAUACAAUGUAAAUGUAAUGGUAAUGGUUACCUGCAUUUCACUCAGUCUGCCUGUCCUGGGGUCCCCAGUCACCACAGACUGACACGAGUGAGGGACACCCAGCCCACAGAACGCAGCUGUGAUUAGAGGGGGUGCCAGGCAAGUCAGUGGAGAUUUUAAUAGACUUAGUCGAAAGGAUCAGCAGGCAUGUUUGACUCAUGUUUGCUAAGUUGUACUUUAUAGUUGACUAAAUUGUCAUAUAAUCAACAGAGGCAAUGUGGAGCUCUGUUACUGGCCAAUGUCUCCCAGUGCCUUACUUAUAUAUGUGCAGGUAGUUAUAAAACCAUAGAACUGCUUUUCUGAUUUAAUCUUGUCAUAUUUGACUCAAUGUGUAUUUUUUAUUGUACAGGAUAUAUUGCCUGUAUGUGCCUUUCCCUGCUUAUUGACCAUUUAGGAACAUGUAUCCUGUGAAUAAGGAAGAUGAAUCAUAAAGUGAAAAUAAACAAAUGCAUUAUGGCUUAAGAUAUUCCAGAAGUGGCUGUUUAUAAAUAUUAAGACAGUCUAUGUAGCCAUGUGAGGAUAAAUAUUUUAACCAUUCAAGGAAUAGUUUCCCUGUCUUCAAGGUGUCCAAAACCAUGACAGAACGUCUGGUAUGGAGAUAUUCUCUGAUCUAUUUCCCUACAGGCCCUUACUCCAGUAAGACCAGUGUUUGGGCAGGUAUGGGGAUCUUUAGAGCUUUCAGGUGACAAGCCACCUUUAAACUGUCACCACUCAGCUGGUUUAUACUUCAAUUAUAGGGCACCGUAACAUAUUUAGUAUCCCAAAGUUUACUGUGUUGCAGUCAGUGGUGCCUGCAGAAUAUUUUGUUUGGCAUAGGCAUUAGGGGGGCAUUAUAUUAAUGGGGAUGCCAGCAGAUCCAUGGGCCAGAUUUGACCCAUUUUAAGUGCUUUGUGGGCAACCGUUCUGAAAUGUGCAGUUUAAAAGAUGCAUUGAAUUGAUGUGGGGCUUCCAUUCCAAGAGGUGGUACCAUAUUUUCUACCCCUGGUUGCUACAUUGUAGUUAUUAGCUGUAGUGAUAUUUCCAUGACACUUGACUGUCCUCAAAUUAUGAAGUAUAAAUUCAGUUAGUGCCCACUUCAGGGAGAGAUGCUUCUGAUGUUGGAAACAUGGACAAGUUUUUGAAAAGGAAGAGUUCAGAAAACAUGCUUGAUCCUGAUCCAGCAGGCUAAGAGCAAUGAUGUGUUGUUCGUAAGGGACAAUUAGUAUGAGAACUGUAUAUUGAUACCUUUUAGUUCUUUAUACUGGUUCCAGGACAUUUAAUUUGUUAGGAUGUUUAAUUGAUUUAGUACUAGAACUAAACAGCUUCUCACAGAACAGCUUCUAACUGCAUUUCUUAUUUACCAUUGUGAAGUUCUGAAACGAUUUUUACAACAGCAGGGUUGGUGUCGUCAUGCUCACUUUCAAAGCAAAAAAAAACAAAAAAAAAAAAAAACAGUAUUUGCCUCAAGUUUCACAGGAAAUUUUGUAGAAGCAAUUUUCCUUGUAAAUUAACCAAUAUGCUUGGUAGUGUUUGCUCUAAUCUAAUAAACAAGUGGUAUUGGA
Molecule: RNA transcript, 7352 nt
Organism: Paramormyrops kingsleyae
Lineage: Eukaryota; Metazoa; Chordata; Actinopteri; Osteoglossiformes; Mormyridae
Gene name: MAP/microtubule affinity-regulating kinase 3-like
Source: RefSeq, a predicted model, not a curated record